GCUGGCAGCUAGCUCUCUGCAACUCUCACAUGGUCGCCCACUGAAGCUAAGCAGGGCUGCGCCCGGUCAGUACCUGGAUGGGAGACCACUAGGGAAAGCUAGGUUACUGCCGGAA
This 115-nucleotide ribosomal RNA is filed under the name Danio rerio (zebrafish). The record is from RNAcentral. Lineage: Eukaryota; Metazoa; Chordata; Actinopteri; Cypriniformes; Danionidae.